Molecule: ribosomal RNA, 497 nt
Filed under: uncultured bacterium
Lineage: Bacteria
Description: partial 16S ribosomal RNA
Rfam family: Bacterial small subunit ribosomal RNA
Source: RNAcentral
GAUGAACGCUGGCGGCGUGCCUAAUACAUGCAAGUCGAGCGAACAGACGAGGAGCUUGCUCCUCUGACGUUAGCGGCGGACGGGUGAGUAACACGUGGAUAACCUACCUAUAAGACUGGGAUAAUUUCGGGAAACCGGAUCUAAUACCGGAUAAUAUAUUGAACCGCAUGGUUCAAUAGUAAAAGACGGCUUUGCUGUCACUUAUAGAUGGAUCUGGGCCGCAUUAGCUAGUUGGUACGGUAACGGCUUACCAAGGCGACGAUGCGUAGCCGACCUGAGAGGGUGAUCGGCCACACGGGAACUGAGACACGGUCCAGACGCCUACGGGAGGGAGCAGUAGGGAAUCUUACGCAAUGGGCGAAAGCAUGACGGAGCAACGCCGCGUGAGUGAUGAAGGUCUUCGGAUCGUAAAACUCUGUUAUUAGGGAAGAACAAAUGUGUAAGUAACUAUGCACGUCUUGACGGUACCUAAUCAGAAAGCCACGGCUAACUACGUG